UGGGGAAUAUUGCACAAUGGAGGGAACACUGAUGCAGCAACGCCGCGUGCGGGAUGACGGCCUUCGGGUUGUAAACCGCUUUCAGCCAUGACGAAGCUUUUGUGACGGUAGUGGUAGAAGAAGCACCGGCUAACUACGUGCCAGCAGCCGCGGUGAUACGUAGGGUGCGAGCGUUGUCCGGAAUUAUUGGGCGUAAAGAGCUUGUAGGCGGUUUGUCGCGUCGAUAGUGUAAACACGCAGCUUAACUGUGUGCCUGCUGUCGAUACGGGCUGACUAGAGGAGGGUAGGGGAGAAUGGAAUUCCCGGUGGAGCGGUGGAAUGCGCAGAUAUCGGGAGGAACACCAGUGGCGAAGGCGGUUCUCUGGACCUUUCCUGACGCUGAGAAGCGAAAGCGUGGGUAGCAAACAGG
This 409-nucleotide ribosomal RNA is filed under the name Fusobacteriota bacterium. Its description in RNAcentral is "Fusobacteria bacterium partial 16S ribosomal RNA". It matches the Rfam family "Bacterial small subunit ribosomal RNA", at positions 355 to 776 of the family's 1533-position model. The record is from RNAcentral. Lineage: Bacteria; Fusobacteriati; Fusobacteriota.